This 429-nucleotide ribosomal RNA is filed under the name bacterium. Its description in RNAcentral is "partial 16S ribosomal RNA". It matches the Rfam family "Bacterial small subunit ribosomal RNA", at positions 355 to 776 of the family's 1533-position model. The record is from RNAcentral.
UAGGGAAUCUUCGGCAAUGGGGGCAACCCUGACCGAGCAACGCCGCGUGAGUGAAGAAGGUUUUCGGAUCGUAAAGCUCUGUUGUAAGAGAAGAACGUGUGUGAGAGUGGAAAGUUCACACAGUGACGGUAACUUACCAGAAAGGGACGGCUAACUACGUGCCAGCAGCCGCGGUAAUACGUAGGUCCCGAGCUUUGUCCGGAUUUAUUGGGCGUAAAGCGAGCGAAGGCGGUUUAAUAAGUCUGAAGUUAAAGGAAGUGGCUUAACCAUUGUUCGCUUGGGAAACUGUUAAACUUGAGUGCAGAAGGGGAGAGUGGAAUUCCAUGUGUAGCGGUGAAAUGCGUAGAUAUAUGGAGGAACACCGGUGGCGAAAGCGGCUCUCUGGUCUGUAACUGACGCUGAGGCUCGAAAGCGUGGGGAGCAAACAGG